ACUCAAAGGAAUUGACGGGCACCCGCACAAGCGGUGGAGCAUGCUGUUUAAUUCGAAAAUACGCGAAGAACCUUACCUAGAUUUGACAUCCCCGGCAAAGCUAUAGAAAUAUAGUGGAGGUUACCCGGGUGACAGAUGGUGCAUGGUUGUCGUCAGCUCGUGUCGUGAGAUGUUUGGUUAAGUCCAAUAACGAGCGCAACCCUUAUUCUUAGUUGCUAACAUUUAGUUGAGAACUCUAAGGAUACUGCCGAUGUAAGUCGGAGGAAGGUGGGGAUGAGGUCAAAUCAUCAUGCCUCUUACAUCUAGGGCUACAGGCGUGCUACAAUGGCUGGUACAACGAGUCGCAAUGCAGUGAUGCAAAGCUAAUCUCUUAAAGCCAGUCCCAGUCCGGAUUGGAGUCUGCAACUCGACUCCAUGAAGUUGGAAUCGCUAGUAAUCCCGAAUCAGAAUGUCGGGGUGAAUACGUUCCCGGGUGUUGCACACACCGCCCGU
This 492-nucleotide ribosomal RNA is filed under the name uncultured bacterium. RNAcentral's name for it is "bacterial SSU rRNA". It matches the Rfam family "Bacterial small subunit ribosomal RNA", at positions 899 to 1397 of the family's 1533-position model. The record is from RNAcentral.